This is a long non-coding RNA of Vigna radiata var. radiata (mung bean), 223 nucleotides long. RefSeq lists it as uncharacterized. The record is from RefSeq and is a predicted model, not a curated record. NCBI's taxonomy places the organism in Eukaryota, Viridiplantae, Streptophyta, Magnoliopsida, Fabales, Fabaceae. The transcript is spliced from 3 exons.
UCUGGCUAUACUUUGUUUAGCACUGUUGACAUGUUUCCACAAGUAAGUCUGAACUUCGCUGGUGGUGCAUCUCUGGUUUUAAGACCACUGGACUACCUUAUUCAACAGAAUUAUAUUGGUGAGGGUUCAGUUUGGUGUAUUGGCUUUCAGAAAAUCCCGGGUCAAAGUGUAACUAUUCUAGGAGAUCUCGUAUUCAAAGACAAAUUUUUUGUCUACGAUGUUG